CGCAGCCGCGGUAAUUCCAGCUCCAAUAGCGUAUAUUAAAGUUGUUGCAGUUAAAAAGCUCGUAGUUGAAUUUCGGGAUCAGUACGCCGGUCGUGCCUCUGGUAUGUACUGGUGUUACUGGUUCCUACCUUCUGACGAACUGUCAUGUCAUUAAUUUGGUGUGGCGGGGAAUCAGGACUGUUACUUUGAAAAAUUAGAGUGUUUAAAGCAGGCUCGCGCUUGAAUACAUUAGCAUGGAAUAAUGAAAUAGGACGUUCGAUCCUAUUUUGUUGGUUUCUAGGAUUGACGUAAUGAUUAAUAGGGAUAGUUGGGGGCAUUAGUAUUCAAUUGUCAGAGGUGAAAUUCUUGGAUUUAUUGAAGACUAACUACUGCGAAAGCAUUUGCCAAGGAUGUUUUCAUUAAUCAAGAACGAAAGUUAGGGGAUCGAAGACGAUCAGAUACCGUCGUAGU
RNAcentral lists this ribosomal RNA (450 nucleotides) under uncultured Glomeromycotina. RNAcentral describes it as "SSU rRNA". It matches the Rfam family "Eukaryotic small subunit ribosomal RNA", at positions 569 to 1024 of the family's 1831-position model. The record is from RNAcentral. Lineage: Eukaryota; Fungi; Glomeromycota.